This 253-nucleotide ribosomal RNA is filed under the name uncultured bacterium. RNAcentral describes it as "partial 16S ribosomal RNA". It matches the Rfam family "Bacterial small subunit ribosomal RNA", at positions 524 to 776 of the family's 1533-position model. The record is from RNAcentral.
UACGGAGGGGGCUAGCGUUGUCCGGAAUUAUUGGGCGUAAAGAGCUCGUAGGCGGUCUGUCGCGUCUGCUGUGAAAACUCGGGGCUUAACCCCGGGCCUGCAGUGGGUACGGGCAGACUAGAGUGCGGUAGGGGAGACUGGAAUUCCUGGUGUAGCGGUGAAAUGCGCAGAUAUCAGGAGGAACACCGGUGGCGAAGGCGGGUCUCUGGGCCGUAACUGACGCUGAGGAGCGAAAGCGUGGGGAGCGAACAGG